UACAGAGGGGGCAAGCGUUGUUCGGAAUUACUGGGCGUAAAGGGCGCGUAGGCGGCCUGUUAAGUCGAACGUGAAAUCCCUGGGCUCAACCCAGGAACUGCGUCCGAUACUGGCAGGCUUGAAUCCGGGAGAGGUGAGUGGAACUGCGGGUGUAGAGGUGAAAUUCGUAGAUAUUCGCAAGAACACCAGUGGCGAAGGCGGCUCACUGGCCCGGUACUGACGCUGAGGUGCGAAAGCGUGGGGAGCAAACAGG
Molecule: ribosomal RNA, 253 nt
Filed under: uncultured bacterium
Lineage: Bacteria
Description: partial 16S ribosomal RNA
Rfam family: Bacterial small subunit ribosomal RNA
Source: RNAcentral